UCAGCUCGCACCAUUGUGCUAGAUGUGGCUCAAGGUGUGUAUUAGCAUCACCAUGCAUUGCUCGGGCGCUGCUGUCGCUAUAUAAUCCGGCUGCCACUGAGUGGUGUCCUGGAGUGGAGUCGUGUCGUAUCGGAACCAUGUCGUGGUCGCUCUCGUGUCGUACAGUGUCGCGCGCCCUCGGGUUAUCCUCUGUUCUCCCAGGGUUGUUACUAGCAAUGUGUAUGUUGGGUGUGGAGAGCAAGCCCCUGUUCGGACUGCUGGACCUGUUUGGCGCCACGGAGAUCGCGAACGGCACGUCAGUUCUGUCGGCGCUGGCGCUGGCCCACGCAGCGCACACCAUCGACAAGUUCCUGGCGCUAGCUGACCUGGCACAGUACGCGCUCAACACCACCGCGAGCCUGGGGUGAGCGGCGGACGGCGGACGGCCGGGACCGGACCCGAAGAUACAAGACAGCCGCACCCGUCCUACAUAUCAAUAUACCAUUCUAGUAUGAUAA
Leptidea sinapis is the source of this 497-nucleotide long non-coding RNA. RefSeq lists it as uncharacterized. Lineage: Eukaryota; Metazoa; Arthropoda; Insecta; Lepidoptera; Pieridae. The transcript has 4 exons. The record is from RefSeq and is a predicted model, not a curated record.